Molecule: long non-coding RNA, 217 nt
Organism: Megalobrama amblycephala (Wuchang bream)
Lineage: Eukaryota; Metazoa; Chordata; Actinopteri; Cypriniformes; Xenocyprididae
Exons: 3
Source: RefSeq, a predicted model, not a curated record
GUUGGAAACAAGGAAAGAAACGUCUAAGCAUGAAGAGACCUUGAAAAACAGGACAAUGAACAGAUAGACAUCAGGAGUCCGAAAAGAUUAAGCUGAAACUAAAGAAAGACACUGAGGAGAGAACAGAAUAUCAAAAUGUCAACUGUUGAAACCAGAGAGAAUGAUGCUCACAAUCCUCCUCACAGGAAAAGAUGGAGCAAAAACGAACCUCUUGACU